ACAGGUGGUGCAUGGUUGUCGUCAGCUCGUGUCGUGAGAUGUUGGGUUAAGUCCCGCAACGAGCGCAACCCUUGUCUCAUGUUGCCAGCAAUUCGGUUGGGGACUCGUGAGAGACUGCCGGGGUCAACUCGGAGGAAGGUGGGGAUGACGUCAAAUCAUCAUGCCCCUUAUGUCCAGGGCUUCACACAUGCUACAAUGGCCGGUACAGAGGGCUGCGAUACUGUAAAGUGGAGCGAAUCUCUUAAAGCCGGUCUCAGUUCGGAUUGGGGUCUGCAACUCGACCCCAUGAAGUCGGAGUCGCUAGUAAUCGCAGAUCAGCAAUGCUGCGGUGAAUACGUUCCCGGGCCUUGUACACACCGCCCGUCACGUCAUGAGAGUCGGUAACACCCGAAGCCGGUGGCCUAACCCUUGUGGGGGGAGCCGUCGAAGGUGGGAUCGGCGAUUGGGACG
RNAcentral lists this ribosomal RNA (450 nucleotides) under Dietzia sp. I-BO3. RNAcentral's name for it is "bacterial SSU rRNA". It matches the Rfam family "Bacterial small subunit ribosomal RNA", at positions 1034 to 1482 of the family's 1533-position model. Lineage: Bacteria; Bacillati; Actinomycetota; Actinomycetes; Mycobacteriales; Dietziaceae. The record is from RNAcentral.